Brienomyrus brachyistius is the source of this 1481-nucleotide long non-coding RNA. RefSeq lists it as uncharacterized. The transcript is spliced from 4 exons. The record is from RefSeq and is a predicted model, not a curated record. Lineage: Eukaryota; Metazoa; Chordata; Actinopteri; Osteoglossiformes; Mormyridae.
GUUAAGUAAGUACUAAUGGCUGGCGUGCGGCUCAGCAUGUUUUGUAUUCGUGCCAAGUGAUCGUGGCGGGGAAUCCUGUGUUUGGCAGAGUGGACACCCCGCCGCUGCCCGUUCCCGGAAGGUCAGACACGGCUGCAGUCCGUUCUCCUGACCGAUGCGCAGUUCUUCAGCACGGCUCAUACGGGUCCUGGACUUCCUCACCAACAGACCAAAGCAUGUAUGGAUUGGCACAGACACUUCCUCUACCCUGACCCCCAACAAUAGCACCGGGAAGCGUUUUGAUUCCACUGGUGUACUCCUUGUUGACACAUGACUGCGUGGCCGGACACAGGUCCAACACUCAUUAAGUUUGCUGACGGCUCCUCCAUCGUGGGCCUGAUCGCUGAUAAUGAUGGACUACAGAGAGGAGGAAGCAAGGUGCGGCUGAUGCCCUCAUCUGCAAUGAAAGGGAUGCUGUGGAGAGGGUCAGCAGCUUCAUGUUCCUUGGGGUCACCAUCAGCAAUAAAGCCCCAGCAAUGCCUUCACUUCCUCUGGCGUCUGAGGAAAAGCCCAGACGCCCACCACGGUCCAGAAGGAGCGUUGUGGAAUCCGUCCUCACAGGUUGUAUUACAUCCAGGAACUGUGGAGCAAAGCAGACCUUUGAAGUUUUCUUCUCAUUGAGGCGCCCUGAUGUGCUAUCAGAGCAGGAAAUCAGCCGCGGAGGAUUCUGUGCCGCAUGUGGGUGGCUGUGGGUGAAUCCUUGGCUGCUUUCGCUUUUGGAUACUGAUGCCAGUGACAUCACUACAUGCGACUGGAUAGCACGCCUACAUGCAGCUGGAUACAUGCAGCUGAAUAGUGCAUCUGCAUGUACUGGAGCCAACGUGCAAAACUCACUGCAGGAGCAAUAUGCGACUGUUGUUUCUGGGAAAGUCGGAAUUAAACGAAAUAUUACAAUAAGCUUUCUAAGCUGUGUGUGUAUGGUUUGUGAAUGUUUAUGUAUCACUUAUGGUCAUAAUGAUCCCAUGUUUCCUGGCUUAUGACACUGUCAUCAGUGCCUUUGUAGGAUACAUUUUUUACGGUAGCUGAGAUUGUGUUUGUGCGCUGUAAUGUGUAAGGAAGGCGGUUUGAUAGGCAGCUCUUCAUAUGAGAUGUUUUCGCACAAGUAAUGUAAUAAGAGUCAUAUUUACUCACCCCAGACAUUGCAACAGAGCAAAUUAUAACAUAAUUAACUACAUAUGUGUGUGUGUGUGUGUGUGUAGGAGAUUUGUUUAUUAUCUUUAAGUGUAGUUAUAAGAAUAGUUUUGUGAAUUCAUUGUAAUUAUCAUUAUUUUCUAUGACACCACAAUAGCACUAUGGCUUAAACAGUUAAGGUCAUUAUAUGAAAGUGUGUGACCCUACUUGGUAAUAAGAGAGUAAUGGUGGUCAGCUGUUGUUAUUCUGUUCAGUUUUUUUUCACUAUCUUUGCUAUUUAUAUUUUAUUAUUAUAACCUAAAUAAAGAUUG